AUUGAACACUGGCGGCAGGCCUAACACAUGCAAGUCGAGCGGUAACACAGGGAGCUUGCUCCCGGGUGACGAGCGGCGGACGGGUGAGUAAUGUCUGGGAAACUGCCUGAUGGAGGGGGAUAACUACUGGAAACGGUAGCUAAUACCGCAUAAUGUCGCAAGACCAAAGAGGGGGACCUUCGGGCCUCUUGCCAUCAGAUGUGCCCAGAUGGGAUUAGCUAGUAGGUGGGGUAACGGCUCACCUAGGCGACGAUCCCUAGCUGGUCUGAGAGGAUGACCAGCCACACUGGAACUGAGACACGGUCCAGACUCCUACGGGAGGCAGCAGUGGGGAAUAUUGCACAAUGGGCGCAAGCCUGAUGCAGCCAUGCCGCGUGUAUGAAGAAGGCCUUCGGGUUGUAAAGUACUUUCAGCGGGGAGGAAGGCGAUAAGGCUAAUAACCUUGUCGAUUGACGUUACCCGCAGAAGAAGCACCGGCUAACUCCGUGCCAGCAGCCGCCGUAA
Molecule: ribosomal RNA, 504 nt
Filed under: uncultured bacterium
Lineage: Bacteria
Description: partial 16S ribosomal RNA
Rfam family: Bacterial small subunit ribosomal RNA
Source: RNAcentral